RNAcentral lists this ribosomal RNA (253 nucleotides) under uncultured bacterium. RNAcentral describes it as "partial 16S ribosomal RNA". It matches the Rfam family "Bacterial small subunit ribosomal RNA", at positions 524 to 776 of the family's 1533-position model. The record is from RNAcentral.
UACGAAGGGGGCUAGCGUUGCUCGGAAUCACUGGGCGUAAAGCGCACGUAGGCGGCUUUCUAAGUCAGGGGUGAAAUCCUGGAGCUCAACUCCAGAACUGCCUUUGAUACUGGGGAGCUCGAGUCCGGAAGAGGUGAGUGGAACUCCGAGUGUAGAGGUGAAAUUCGUAGAUAUUCGGAAGAACACCAGUGGCGAAGGCGGCUCACUGGUCCGGUACUGACGCUGAGACGCGAAAGCGUGGGGAGCGAACAGG